This 432-nucleotide long non-coding RNA is filed under the name Eucalyptus grandis. RNAcentral's name for it is "long non-coding RNA (EGRA_LNC002086)". Lineage: Eukaryota; Viridiplantae; Streptophyta; Magnoliopsida; Myrtales; Myrtaceae. The record is from RNAcentral.
AGCUCUGCUGCUCCCGAUCCGUGCAAUCUGACGCCCUGCUGCUCCACCGACGCCUUCACUCGCCGGUCACUGCUCGAUCUGCAACAGCAGUGACCCAACGACCCUGCAACUUCGUUUUCAGCCGAGAUCCGACGACACCGGAGCCCUGCUGCUCCCGACCCGGCAACCUCCAAGUCUCUGUGCCCCACCAGCAGCACCGGACGCCAGAAGUCCCGACUCCGACGCCUCUGUUCAGGAAACCUCCAUCGCCCGCGACGCUGCCACAGCCGCCGCGCUUGCGCCUCCGCCUGUCCGAUCCAACCGCGCCGGACGCCCAGAGACCUGUGCCUCCGCCUCUGCCAGCGCCUGACGCUUGCCGACUCCCCUCGCCGGAGCCCCGAACCAGCUGCCAAGUUUUGCCUGGAAGGGGAAAGAAAAAAACAAAAGAAAAAA